Molecule: RNA transcript, 4906 nt
Organism: Acinonyx jubatus (cheetah)
Lineage: Eukaryota; Metazoa; Chordata; Mammalia; Carnivora; Felidae
Gene name: aspartic peptidase retroviral like 1
Exons: 10
Source: RefSeq, a predicted model, not a curated record
AGAAAGACCGAAACCCACCCCUGCCACCGCUAGAGUCGCGGCUCUGUUGAUGACUUCUGGGAAGUGUUGGAAACAGGGCCUUAAAAAAAGAAUGGCGUCCAUUUACAUAAUGCUUUGUUUGCAUUUUGCAAGCAUCUUUCGGUUGAACCUACAGAAAUCCCACAGUGUCGUUUUAGUCGUGGCAGUCUCGACAGGCAUUUAGGACAAUGGUGUGCUCCUUUUGGGACCGCAUUUAGUCAGGGUUGCUGACUUAGUGCUUGGAGAAUUCUUGCGAUUUCCCCCCACACUCUUCACUUUCCCGCUUCUGCGUUUCGGCCUUUUCCCCGUUUCCCCUUUUGGUGCGAUCGCCUCGCCCCGCUCCCCUUGGGGGCGGCCCCUGUCGGGCCCCGCCAUCUUGGAAGGCCUUUCUUGCCGGUUCGCCACAGCACGUCCCUCUCGCCAAAGAAAGGUCGCUUGGGAGGCUCGUAUGAAUUCACUUAGGCCCAGAGAGAUGAAGUGACUAAUUCAAAGUCACACAGUGGAGGAUGGAUUCCAGACCUUCUGAUUUCCUUAUUGACCUGCAGUAUCUUGUGUAUACGUGAUUGAAUUCCACACCACCCAUUUUACAGAUGAAGCCACUGAGAUAUGGAACAAUUGACUAAAUAGUCACUGCCCCACCCCUGGAGCCUCACACAUGACUCUUCUCCUCCCAUUUGAAUGACUGCAGGUGAUCUCAACUUCUCUGACAGCUCCACUUAACCAUCUACACAUGGAUGAUGCCCAGAUCUUUCUAUGGACCACAGUAUCCAACUGCUCAUGUAGACAACAUCACAAGGAUGUUUUGCAUACUCGGCAAAAUGCAGCCUCCUGCUCUUCCCCACUUGCUCGUCAUCCAUUGUCCUCAUCACAUGUGAAAAGUGGUCUUGUCACUGUAAAUAUGGUGGUUGAGAAUGUGACUCUGAUACGAUGUGAUGUGAUAUGGAAUAUGAUUCUGGAGCCAGCCUGCUGGGGCCUGAAUUCGGACAUAACCACUUACUGUGUGACCUUGGGUAAGGAGACACAGAGAGAGAAGAUGUCCGUAUGAAGAUGGAAGCAGAGAUUGGAGUUGUGCUGCCACGAACCAAGGGAUGGCAAGGAUUACUGGCAACCACCAGAAGCUGGAAGAGACAAGGAAAGAUUCUCCUCUGGAGCCUUCAGAGGGAGCAUGACCCUGCUGAAACCUUGAUUUUGGACUUCCAGCCUCCAGAACAAUGAGAGAAUAAAUAUCUUUUGUUUGAAGUCACCCAAUUUGUAGUGUUUGUUACAGCAGCCCUGAGAAACCAAACAUGCUCUUUUAUCAUCUUCUUUUUCGAAUAAGGAAACAGGCCCAGAGAGGUUAGAUACUUUGAGAUCUCUGUAGGCCACUGCUCUGCUGGCUGGGCACUUACUCUGAAGCUCCUCAUGUUGCUGUUGUCAGCUCUGCACCACGACCAUUACACCUUUUGGUAGUGCUGGGGCUGAGCUGAAGGAAUGGCUCCUCCUCUAACACAGCAGGCCACAGCCCUUCCCCAUUCUUGCCUUCUUCACACCCUAAAGCAGAAACUCCUCUCAGGAGGCUUCUGACUGUAGCCUGAUCAUUUCCGCAGGUUGCUUCCCAGCCCCACUCCUCCAGGUGAUACCAGGCUUUUAUUAUUUUUUAAUUAAAAAAAAUUUUUUUAAAUGUUUAUUUUGAGAGAGCAUGAGCAGGGGAGGGGGCAGAGAGAGGAGACAGAGGAUCUGAAGCAGACUCUGUGCUGUCAGCAUGGAGCCCAACACAGGGCUCGAGCUCAUGAACCAUGAGAUCAUGACUUGAGCUGAAGUUGGACACUUAACCAGCUGAACCACCCAGGUGCCCCUGGGUUUAUAUUUUUCAUUUCCAUGCAGUGUUAGAGAAAUGUGGGUGACAUUUGGGGGGAGUGUCACUCAGUUUCUAACAGUUUUUAUGUUUCCCAUUUCUGGCCUGCUAUACUUCCUAGAACUCCUGUCAGUAGACGACUCAAGUCUUGGUGUGGAUUUUUGUUUUCGUUUUUGAGCUUCAGGAUAUCACACACAGCUCAAUUGGCACAUACCACAGUUCAUGGCUGUGAGCAGAGAAGGAGCAGCAUCAUGGCCACAUUGGCUCUGAGGGCCCUGGUCACCUGUUUUUGAUAAACCGAACAUACCACAGUGGCUCUGUCCUUUGCCAAAGUGAGUGGGGGAUAAGGAUGUUCUCUGACCCAGCCCAGCUACCUAAACAGCUCCUUAUUUGCCCAUGGUCUCUUUUGCUGGCAUCCCAGAAGGGAUCUCCUUCCUCAGCAUCUCAUUGCUGGCUGCAGAAUUUUGCCUAUUUUCCAAUUUGGACCUUUUGCUUUGGGUCCUGCUCUUACUCUUAACAACUCUCACUAGGCUGAGCUCCAGGAACUCAGGAACCAUAUUUGUUUUGUUUGCUGCUAUAUCCUAGGAAUGAGGAAAAACCUGGUACUUACUAGCCCCUCAAGAAAUGUAUAUUGAAUGAAGAAAUGAAACAAUAGUAAACACAAAAUAAGGAAAAUCCAGCGAAAUUCUGAUUUUUACCAUGAUGACUAAUUAGAUCAAUAUAAUUUGAAAUAUCUGUUUUUGUCUCUGCUUUUCCAGUUCUCUAAGCACAUGCUAUUGGAUAAUCCUGCCUGGAUCAGUCCUUUCCUCACCUUGGACUUCACCUUCUUUUCCUCUUUAUUCUAUCUGCUAAAGUUGCCAGCCAGCCUCUUUCACCCCAGAGGGGGAUCCGGCUCCUGAAAUCCCAGCCUAUGCUAGUGCCUCAUGCUUCCUGGGGGCUUGCCAAGAAAGUCAACUAUUACAUUGUGAAUGGAACAGAGAAAUUGAGCAGAUGUUCUUCCAGUAUUCAAAAAAUAUUACCUGAUUCAGUAAAGAAGUUGCUUAUACCAUUGACAAAGGAGUGAAGUUGCAACAUGUAUCUUCAUUGUUUCACUUUCAUUGUUUCAACCAAGGGCCUGUUGUUAUAUAUUUACCAGCACACCACUGGGCAAAUUGCCUUAGGCUGAGGAGAGACCAGAGACCAGAUUGGACGCUUUGGAAAGAUUCCCAGAAGAGGGAGGGACUCAUCGAUGGAAAGACGCUUCCAUCAAUGGAGAGAGGAGGGAUGGCUUGAAGACCUGAUGCCAUGCCCCACUGAAGCAGAGUGCCAGCAGCAGCUGUGGCCCCUGCUCCUAGGAGCUGUGCCACCCACCCUACACAUGCACACACCCACACCAACCCCAGGGCCCAGGCCUCAGCCUAGGCUGGGGGGGUUGUGCAGGAGUGGGGCAGGCAUUCGGGGCCCAGCUCAUGGUGCAGAGCGUGGGCUGGAGAGACCGGGUGCCAUCUUGGUCGCCCACAUCAGCAGAGGUGACUGCGUGGUAACCAGUGACCCAAGGGCGAGUGUGGAACAGGAAACAGGUAAGAGGGGCAGCUACACCAGCAUCGGUUCCGAUCAACACAUGAGGUCAGCCCGAGCCACACAAUCUGAAGUCUUCUCACAGAGCCUAAGUGCUCAAAACUUUUGGUCAGUGAAUUUUCCAUGAAAUUAAAAAGUCUGAUUAACACAUUUCUGGAAGUAGAAAGAAACCCCAAAAGGGCACAAAAUAACAGGAAGACCCAAAUUUAAUAAUGAAAUAAUUUAUUUGUGAACGGUGGAACGAUACAGAAGUUUACAUAUACACAGCAAAGAUUCUCUAAAACAUGUAGUAGUUCUAAAAAUGCAUGUGCUAACUGUAGUAAAAAGCACCAUUCUCUAGAUCUUGACACAGGAUUUACAUUGGCGUCAUAUUUACAUAAAGAAAUAAACAUCUGGAAACAGAAUUCCAUACUCUCUCAUCUGCUGCUCCCCUCUGUAGGCUGUGUUUACCAUUAGGAAGAUGGCCCCCAACACUGAUGGUUAACAGCAAUAUUCCCAGAGCACCAAUUCUAGGGACGGGGGGUAAAGGCAAGUUUGGUUCUCAGGUAAAAGCUAAACUGAAGAAUGCCCCAUUAAGUCACCACCCCCCAUAGAGUAAGAAAUCAAACUUAAAAAUGUGGAUAAAUCUUGGAAUUGGGUGCCUUACUAAUUCUCAUUUUAUGAUUUUGAGACAAGACCAAGAUACUCAAUUUCUUCAGCCAUUUAAUAGCUGACUCAGGCAGUGCCAGGCAGUGUCGUCUUCUUUCAGAAGAAUGUAGUAUAAGAAAAUCAUCCAUGUAAUAAAUAUUAAUGAAGAAAUCAUGAUAAGUCACAUAUAGUACACACACCCCUCCCCACCCCCAGAUAUCUUUGCAAACAAAAUAUCCCAUAGUCACAGAGAUCUGAAUGAGAAAAGCCACCCCCCCUCUAAAAGGGUCUUUGGGUCAUCUUCUCCCAGAAAGGAUUUUAAAACUCAGUAGCCAGCUACCUAAGCUUACUGCAUCCAAGAGUUAGACAUACACACACACAAAAAACAGAUUGACCUGCAGGAAAUCACCUUGCAGCCAUUGACUUCCUGGGGUUCAACACUCAGGGCAGGUAAAGGAGGAAGCUUGAGGAGCAAGGGGAGGAGGAAGAGAAGAUAGAUUCAGGAAUACGUCAUAAAGCAUAAUGAAAGUGGUAUUCUUGCCAAUAUGGCAUGGUAUAAAAGCCUAAAUAAUGUGUAUAUGCUGUCUAAAAAUAGUUUUUUUCUUUAAAGGAUGGGGCAGAGGCAAGAAGAAAAAAAGCCCAUAAUACCCAUAGUGAGCCCCAAGACUCCACUUGACCAUUACUUGAGCAUCACCAUCCUAGGUUGACAAUUUUUCCCCCUGCACCCCAGCAUUUGCUCUUGGCCACUUAAGGGACGGAUCAGAGAGGCCCAUAGGAAACCCAGGUAAGGACUCUGUUUCUUUUUUUCUUUUUUUUUUUUUUUUUUUUUUAGAGGCGAAAAGAAAAUGCUUCCUUUAAAAACUAAAACCA